ACGAACGCUGGCGGCGUGCUUAACACAUGCAAGUCGAACGGAAAGGCCCUGCUUUUGUGGGGUGCUCGAGUGGCGAACGGGUGAGUAACACGUGAGUAACCUGCCCUUGACUUUGGGAUAACUUCAGGAAACUGGGGCUAAUACCGGAUAGGAGCUCCUGCUGCAUGGUGGGGGUUGGAAAGUUUCGGCGGUUGGGGAUGGACUCGCGGCUUAUCAGCUUGUUGGUGGGGUAGUGGCUUACCAAGGCUUUGACGGGUAGCCGGCCUGAGAGGGUGACCGGCCACAUUGGGACUGAGAUACGGCCCAGACCCCUACGGGAGGCAGCAGUGGGGAAUAUUGCACAAUGGGCGGAAGCCUGAUGCAGCAACGCCGCGUGCGGGAUGACGGCCUUCGGGUUGUAAACCGCUUUCGCCUGUGACGAAGCGUGAGUGACGGUAAUGGGUAAAGAAGCACCGGCUAACUACGUGCCAGCAGCCGCGGUGAUACGUAGGGUGCGAGCGUUGUCCGGAUUUAUUGGGCGUAAAGGGCUCGUAGGUGGUUGAUCGCGUCGGAAGUGUAAUCUUGGGGCUUAACCCUGAGCGUGCUUUCGAUACGGGUUGACUUGAGGAAGGUAGGGGAGAAUGGAAUUCCUGGUGGAGCGGUGGAAUGCGCAGAUAUCAGGAGGAACACCAGUGGCGAAGGCGGUUCUCUGGGCCUUUCCUGACGCUGAGGAGCGAAAGCGUGGGGAGCGAACAGGCUUAGAUACCCUGGUAGUCCACGCUGUAAACGGUGGGUACUAGGUGUGGGGUCCAUUCCACGGGUUCCGUGCCGUAGCUAACGCUUUAAGUACCCCGCCUGGGGAGUACGGCCGCAAGGCUAAAACUCAAAGGAAUUGACGGGGCCCCGCACAAGCGGCGGAGCAUGCGGAUUAAUUCGAUGCAACGCGUAGAACCUUACCUGGGUUUGACAUGGAUCGGGAGUGCUCAGAGAUGGGUGUGCCUCUUUUGGGGUCGGUUCACAGGUGGUGCAUGGCUGUCGUCAGCUCGUGUCGUGAGAUGUUGGGUUAAGUCCCGCAACGAGCGCAACCCUUGUUCACUGUUGCCAGCACGUUAUGGUGGGGACUCAGUGGAGACCGCCGGGGUCAACUCGGAGGAAGGUGGGGAUGACGUCAAGUCAUCAUGCCCCUUAUGUCCAGGGCUUCACGCAUGCUACAAUGGCUGGUACAGAGAGUGGCGAGCCUGUGAGGGUGAGCGAAUCUCGGAAAGCCGGUCUCAGUUCGGAUUGGGGUCUGCAACUCGACCUCAUGAAGUCGGAGUCGCUAGUAAUCGCAGAUCAGCAACGCUGCGGUGAAUACGUUCCCGGGGCUUGUACACACCGCCCGUCAAGUCAUGAAAGUUGGUAACACCCGAAGCCGGUGGCCUAACCGUUGUGGGGGAGCCGUCGAAGGUG
Molecule: ribosomal RNA, 1428 nt
Filed under: uncultured organism
Description: 16S ribosomal RNA
Rfam family: Bacterial small subunit ribosomal RNA
Source: RNAcentral